Molecule: transfer RNA, 57 nt
Filed under: Odocoileus virginianus texanus
Lineage: Eukaryota; Metazoa; Chordata; Mammalia; Artiodactyla; Cervidae
Also listed under: 7 other names
Rfam family: tRNA
About the family: Transfer RNA (tRNA) molecules are approximately 80 nucleotides in length. Their secondary structure includes four short double-helical elements and three loops (D, anti-codon, and T loops).
Source: Rfam by way of RNAcentral
UGGCUCAGAUGGUAAAGAAUCUGCCUGUAAUGCAGGAGACCCAGGUUCGAUCCCUGG